AGGAUUAACGCUGGCGGCGUGCCUAACACAUGCAAGUCGAACGAGGUAGCAAUACCUAGUGGCAGACGGGUGAGUAACGCGUGGUCAACCUACCGUUGAGUGGGGGAUAACUAGCCGAAAGGUUAGCUAAUACCGCAUACGUCUCCGAGGGGCAUCCCUUGGCGAUAAAAGGAGCAAUCCGCUCGAUGACGGGACCGCGUCCCAUUAGCUAGAUGGUGGGGUAACGGCCUACCAUGGCACCGAUGGGUAGCUGGUUUGAGAGAGCGACCAGCCACACUGGGACUGAGAAACGGCCCAGACUCCUACGGGAGGCAGCAGUGAGGAAUUUUUCCGCAAUGGGCGCAAGCCUGACGGAGCGACGCCGCGUGUGGGAAGAAGGCCUUCGGGUCGUAAACCACUGUCGAAGGGGACGAUAAUGACGGUACCCUUGGAGGAAGCCCCGGCUAACUACGUGCCAGCAGCCGC
Molecule: ribosomal RNA, 465 nt
Filed under: uncultured bacterium
Lineage: Bacteria
Description: SSU rRNA
Rfam family: Bacterial small subunit ribosomal RNA
Source: RNAcentral